Long non-coding RNA from Pseudopipra pipra, 4500 nucleotides. RefSeq lists it as uncharacterized. The transcript has 3 exons. NCBI's taxonomy places the organism in Eukaryota, Metazoa, Chordata, Aves, Passeriformes, Pipridae. The record is from RefSeq and is a predicted model, not a curated record.
UUGUUGUUUCUUACUACCUAACUCCCUGCUGGAAAGGAGCCUGAAAAAAUACACACAGUAAAAUUUGGUGAGCAGACCCACUGUGCACGCAGCUACAGAUAGAUAAACCACCAGGCCACAAUUAUCCCCCAGACUCUGCUCCUCCACAGGCAACUUUGCUGCUGAUUUACAUCGAUGGAAGAGAGAAAGCAGAUUAAGCAUCUCAAGACUGCAUUACAAAGGGAUGGCAGGUUUGCAGCAAGUGUUAAGGCACGGUGGAAUAGGGAGAGUCGAGUAUCUCAGCAGUUUUGUCUAUACAUCUAUUCUCUGUAAUGCAGUUAAUUUUAAUAACGUGUUUCCAGUCUGUGAUGUGUGUUAUACUGAUAUGUAUCUGUGAUUUGAAUGUAUAUUCAUCUCUGUGUGUAUAGAGUUAGAUGGGUAUCCUUUCAGCAAGAAAACUGUAUGCCACAAUAGAGAAUGGAAACAGUAAAAAUAAUCUUUUAGAUUCCGCUUUAAAAGCAGAGAUGACUGGAAUCACAUUAGAAAGGAUUAAUGCAGUAGGUACAUACCUUGCUGAAAUUUGCAUGCUUCCAUUGUUGGAAAGUGGGAAACAAAGGGAAAAAUUAUUCCCCGAUAUGCUCUCGGCGUAGAGAUAUACGCAGUGAUUCACUGAAGACAGCUAUGGAGGUUACAAAACAGAAAUUAAGAGGCAAUAUAAAUUACGUGAGGGUGUUCUAGAUGAUUAGACAACUCGCUGGUCCAUUUACAGUGCUGCUUGUAGCUUUAUAUCAAAUCUGAUGAGAGAGUGGCAAAUUGUAAGCAAGGAAAUUUUUCACUCUCUCCUGUCCUUAAGCUGUACUUUGUUUAGAGAGAUCUUAAUGCAUAUCCUGAGCAUUUUAAUAAGAAACUAUUGCAUGCCACUGGUUUGUGCAAACAGUAGUUGUAUUAUUACAGAGGAUGAAUUAAUCUUCCAGGCGUCCAUUUGUGCUACUCAGAUCAGGCAGGGUUUAUUUGCAAAGGGCUGACCCUGCUUCCUGGCAGGUUUGCCGGGAGGUGCCGUGCCAGGUGCCUCCACUGAAUGCGAGAGGGUUCAGCUGGCACAUCUCCGGGACCGCGGGGACAGUCACAUGGCAGGGGCUGCCGCCUGAGGGAAUGCAGGGCCAGUGGCUGUGAGGACAGUGGCACCGAGUCCUGGGUUCGACAGGCUCCUUCAGGGAUUCUUUAGUGGGUAUUAAAGGCUGGUAGGAAGCAAGUAUUCUCAAGCUCGGGUCUGCAUUCUUCUGGUAAUGCAAAUUUAGCCCAAGGUCACACAAAAAACCUUUAUUUCAAGUAGCUUGCUCCAUCUUAAGCAGAAUUGCUACAACAUUUCCCUUUGUACAGAUUUUGUUAAGUAAAUGCUUAAUAGCAGGGUGACUCUCAUCUUAGGGCAAAUAUUUUAGAAAUCCGUUGUUAGUCACAUCAGGUGUGCGUCUUCAAUAUUGCAACAUCUGCUAUUUGUUACAUGCAAACAGAGAAUGAAAAUGUGUAUUUGCCCUGUCCUGGGCUCUUCUGUAAUUCAGGCAACCUGGCUGAACGCGCCAGAGACAGUGCUGACAGUACAGUUAUUUCAGGAGGGUAACAUCGCACCAAAAGUUGAGUAGGGGGUAAACUAAAAAGUGUUGUAUUAUGCUUGGGUGCCCUCUAAGUUAUUUUACAAUCCAGUGCAUACUUUAAAUAUAUCUUGUUCCUUAGAAUUUCCUUGUAGAAGUCAGCGCUGUGCUGCUGUUCCAGCAGAGCAAACAUUGGAUGGACUCUUCACAAACAGAAGAAUGUUCGUAUAUUUUGUGACUGGCGAUUUUCACUUGCUGACAUUCUUCUACACACUUGGGAGUCGUCCCUUUCCUUUGGAGCAGCCUAAGGAAAAUGCUGCCCUCUCUUGAAUUUGAGGGCGCAGUGCACCUCCUGUCAAAGGCUGCCCGGGGAGCGGGAGGCAGCGCAUUGCCGAAAGAUGCUAGUGAUUCCAGUGGGGCUGGUGAGUGGCAAGAAAGGCAACACCGUACUUCAUAAUAUUAAAUAGUUUCCAAAGGAGAGUUUUUCUGAAGAAUGCAAAUUCUCUAAAAUAUAAAUUCUUUUUCUUCUAAAAAAAAUUGGAAAGCAAGUAAAGAUGCCUUACUCCGUUAUGGAAGUUAUUUAGCCAGGGCAAUUUCAUUGUUUCAGGUGCCUGAAUAGAGGGGAGGCCAAGUCCUGAAAUUCUUUGGACUACCUUAAACGAGCCUUCAUUCAAAUUGAAACAAUAUCUUUGACUGUUUGAGUUGUGAGAUUUGCUGAAUGCCCAUUUAGGUCUUGCAGUCAAAGGAAAACUUUUUUUCUGAUAGGUCUUCUCUGAAGGAGGGAGGAUGCAACUGGCUGCCACUGGACCUCUCCACCAGAAAAGAAACACUUACGGUUACAGUAGUGUAUGACAACCCCCAAAGCUUGCCUGUCUGUAUGGGACCACUGUUGCGGUGCCUGUAGAAACCAACAUUUCACUGCCUUGAGCAGCUGGGUCAGGAGAUGUGUCUCCAGCUGGAGGGAGGAGGAGGUUUCUCCUCUUCACUGGCAAACAUGGAUAGGGCAUAGUCUUUGUGCAUCUUCCUUAAGGAGGAAAUAUAAAGGAGAUCCGGUGAGAAAAGCUAUUCUGGAGUAGCUUCUGCCUCCAUUUCUUCAACAGGGGCAUUAAAACAAACAAACAAAAAAGAUCUCCCUUUCUCCCAUACACACCCCCGAUUGUAGAAGGAUGUGUAUCUUUCUGCUGGAGGCAAGAGGUGAAAAGGACCAUUAUGUGAUGUGUAGGAGGGAUUGCCUAUAAGGAGUCCUACAGCAAGCUACCAUCACUAGAAGGGAGGGCAUGCAGGUUUUGGGCUGUAUUAACCCAUCAGAUGCCAGUGCACACAUGAGAACCAGGUUUCCUGGAUAUCAGAUGCUGCAUGAGAGGAGGGUGAAGUGGGUCAUGCAUUGUGGAAAAGAAGGAGAAAAACAUGCAUGUACACCUAAACCCAUGGUCUUUUUCUUUCCUAUUAUUAUUUAAAAGGAUUUUCUGAACAUACAGCUCCCCACCGAGCCCACUUACAAUUCUCAGAAGCUGAAAGACAGGUAGGCAACAAGGAGCAACCUCCAGGCAAAAUGAUUAGCUAAUAAUAGCUGUGCAUCUUGUUAGUUACAUGAUUUGUGCAAAAGGACAUACUUCUCAAUAUUUAUCUCACUCUUCUGCACCGAUUUAUUUUUUUUACACAAAUGUGGGGGUGAUUAAUCCCAAAUGCAAUCUGAAGCAGGAUAAACAGAAGGGGACUGGGCAUGUAUAUGUGACUUGUACUGUAUACUGCCUCAUCUAUAUUAAAUAUGAGACAAAGUAAUAAAAAUAAACAAUACAUAAUUGUGUCAGUUGCAACUCAGGCAGUAACAAAAUAUUGCCACAUUUUUUCUUAGGAAGCUGGCUGUGUGGUGGCUGAAAAGACCCCUAAAGCACAUAAAGCUCUUAUCUUCAUACAUUUCCCUCAAGAAUAAUAGAUCAGUCGGUGCUCUGAUGCUGUUUUAAUAAUGUACAAUUUACAAUUCAUUUGGUUACCAAGCACUCACAGUAUAAUUAAUUUCACAGACCCUUUCUACACAUUGGCAUGGUUUAUGACAGUACAGAGGGGAGACGGGGAAACUGUGUUCCCCCUCCUGUCACAGAAGAGUGCCUGCAUGAUGCGUCACCUGGCUGGUCUGACAGCAGUCCUGCCACUGUAGGGGUGACAGGGCUUGAUUUCCCUUUUCCUUCUGCCCCAGCUCCCAUAUCCAUACAUGAACACCGCCAUGGGGGAUGUUGCCCUGAGGGUGAGCCCAGCUCAGCCUGCAGCACCCCAGUAGCAUUGAGCCAGAGCUGCCCCAUCCCUUCAAGUUGCAGAGGGCCCUGUGGUCUGUUGCAAGUGCUGGAGCAAAAGCUAAGCCGGGGACAGAAAAGUCUGGCAAGGAUACAGGUAUUGCUUCAGUCAGGAGUGACUGCCCACCGGGGACUGUCGGUGCAUAAGCCCAAGCCUAAUAUCCUUUGACAGAAUCAAGACAUGAAAAACAGAGGAAAAGACUCCAGAAGCAGGCAGAAUACAUAUUGUUGGAGGCUUUAUUUCCACAGUCCUGUUAUUUUUCCCUUUAUGGGAAAUCUGUGCAGUUGCCUGAGAGACUUAAAUAAUGGACUCUCUCUGCAAUGAAUGGAGCUGCUGUUCUGUAAUGUCUUGCACAUCAAAGCAAUUUUUUUUGAAUCUACAUUUACCUCUUUGAUAAAGACAACACGGGGAGGAAUUCAGCAACUACAGAGAACCCGCGGGUCUGCGCAUCCACCUAGAGCUUGCUUUGACAGCGGUGUAUGAAUUGCUAUUGAAGUGGUGGUUUUGUUUCCAUUAUCAAAUAAACAGGAGUUUCCUUUUCUGAAAUUCCCAAAUACUCUUUUCCAUUUUGAAGUUCCUAUACAUGCACAGUGUGUGUACACACAUAUAUGGGUACUCACCAUGUGUCUACCUAUACAUA